UGGGGAAUAUUGGGCAAUGGGCGCAAGCCUGACCCAGCCACGCCGCGUGAGUGAUGAAGGCCUUCGGGUCGUAAAGCUCUGUGGGGAGGGACGAAAAAACAUUGGCCAAUAUCCAAUGGACUGACGGUACCUCCUUAGCAAGCACCGGCUAACUCUGUGCCAGCAGCCGCGGUAAUACAGAGGGUGCAAACGUUGCUCGGAAUCAUUGGGCGUAAAGCGCACGUAGGCGGCCUAGCAAGUAAGGAGUGAAAGCCCUCGGCUUAACCGAGGAAGUGCUUUUUAAACUACUAGGCUUGAAUACUGGAGAGGGUCGCGGAAUUCCCGGUGUAGAGGUGAAAUUCGUAGAUAUCGGGAGGAACACCAGUGGCGAAGGCGGCGACCUGGACAGAUAUUGACGCUGAGGUGCGAAAGCGUGGGGAGCAAACAGGAUUAGAUACCCCUGUAGUCC
Molecule: ribosomal RNA, 448 nt
Filed under: uncultured bacterium
Lineage: Bacteria
Description: bacterial SSU rRNA
Rfam family: Bacterial small subunit ribosomal RNA
Source: RNAcentral